GGUAAUACGUAGGUGGCAAGCGUUGUCCGGAAUUAUUGGGCGUAAAGCGCGCGCAGGCGGUUUCUUAAGUCUGAUGUGAAAGCCCCCGGCUCAACCGGGGAGGGUCAUUGGAAACUGGGGAACUUGAGUGCAGAAGAGGAGAGUGGAAUUCCACGUGUAGCGGUGAAAUGCGUAGAGAUGUGGAGGAACACCAGUGGCGAAGGCGACUCUCUGGUCUGUAACUGACGCUGAGGCGCGAAAGCGUGGGGAGCGAACAGGAUUAGAUACCCUGGUAGUCCACGCCGUAAACGAUGAGUGCUAAGUGUUAGAGGGUUUCCGCCCUUUAGUGCUGCAGCAAACGCAUUAAGCACUCCGCCUGGGGAGUACGGUCGCAAGACUGAAACUCAAAGGAAUUGACGGGGGCCCGCACAAGCGGUGGAGCAUGUGGUUUAAUUCGAAGCAACGCGAAGAACCUUACCAGGUCUUGACAUCCUCUGACAACCCUAGAGAUAGGGCUUCCCCUUCGGGGGCAGAGUGACAGGUGGUGCAUGGUUGUCGUCAGCUCGUGUCGUGAGAUGUUGGGUUAAGUCCCGCAACGAGCGCAACCCUUGAUCUUAGUUGCCAGCAUUCAGUUGGGCACUCUAAGGUGACUGCCGGUGACAAACCGGAGGAAGGUGGGGAUGACGUCAAAUCAUCAUGCCCCUUAUGACCUGGGCUACACACGUGCUACAAUGGGCAGAACAAAGGGCAGCGAAGCCGCGAGGCUAAGCCAAUCCCACAAAUCUGUUCUCAGUUCGGAUCGCA
RNAcentral lists this ribosomal RNA (783 nucleotides) under Bacillus licheniformis. RNAcentral describes it as "bacterial SSU rRNA". It matches the Rfam family "Bacterial small subunit ribosomal RNA", at positions 519 to 1302 of the family's 1533-position model. Lineage: Bacteria; Bacillati; Bacillota; Bacilli; Caryophanales; Bacillaceae. The record is from RNAcentral.